Molecule: ribosomal RNA, 1087 nt
Filed under: Salmonella enterica subsp. enterica serovar Newport
Lineage: Bacteria; Pseudomonadati; Pseudomonadota; Gammaproteobacteria; Enterobacterales; Enterobacteriaceae
Also listed under: 2 other names
Description: partial 23S ribosomal RNA
Rfam family: Bacterial large subunit ribosomal RNA
Source: RNAcentral
CAAUCAAGUGUCUUAAGGGCAAUUAGUGGAUGCCUUGGCAUGCACAGGCGAUGAAGGACGUGAUACGCUGCGAUAAGCGUCGGGGAGGUGCGAAUACCCUUUGAUCCGACGAUUUCCGAAUGGGGAAACCCACCUAAAAUACUUGGAAAAUCAGAGUGGCAGGCGACUGCUGCUGUGGUUUCCAAGUAUUUAUUAUAGGUAACUUACCCUGAAUAUAUAGGGGUAAAGUGGCGAACGCGGGGAACUGAAACAUCUAAGUACCCGUAGGAAAGGACAUCAACCGAGACUCCGGAAGUAGUGGCGAGCGAACCCGGACCAGGCCAGUGAUCUUGGCGAGACAAGCAGAACCAUCUGGAAAGUUGGGCGAUAUGGGUGACAGCCCCGUAUGCGUAAUGCGAACCAAGAUCCUUGAGUAAGGCGGGACACGUGAAAUCCUGUCUGAAAUUCGGAGGACCACCUUCGAAGCCUAAGUACUCGUGCAUGACCGAUAGCGAACUAGUACCGUGAGGGAAAGGUGAAAAGCACCCCAACGAGGGGAGUGAAAAAGUACCUGAAACUGGUUGCCUACAAACAGAUGGAGCCUGAAAGGGUGACAUCGUACCUUUUGUAUAAUGGGUCAGCGACUUAGUGUAUCGAGCAAGCUUAAGCCGGUAGGUGUAGGCGCAGCGAAAGCGAGUCUGAACAGGGCGUUCAGUUCGAUGCAUUAGACCCGAAACCGAGUGAUCUAGCCAUGAGCAGGUUGAAGGUGAGGUAACACUCACUGGAGGACCGAACCCAUAACUGUUGCAAUAGUUCGGGAUGACUUGUGGCUAGGGGUGAAAGGCCAAUCAAACUCGGAAAUAGCUGGUUCUCCGCGAAAUCUAUUUAGGUAGAGCGUCGACCGAAUACCCUGGGGGGUAAAGCACUGCAUGGGCUAGGGGUCCUCACCGGAUUACCAAACCUAAGCAAACUCUGAAUACCCAGGAGUACUAGUCGGCAGACACACGGCGGGUGCUAACGUCCGUCGUGAAAAGGGAAACAACCCUGACCAACAGCUAAGGUCCCCAAGUUAUGGCUAAGUGGGAAAGGAUGUGAGGAUCCCAAAACA